This 505-nucleotide ribosomal RNA is filed under the name uncultured bacterium. RNAcentral's name for it is "partial 16S ribosomal RNA". It matches the Rfam family "Bacterial small subunit ribosomal RNA", at positions 28 to 507 of the family's 1533-position model. The record is from RNAcentral.
GACGAACGCUGGCGGCGUGCCUAAUACAUGCAAGUAGAACGCACAGUUUAUACCGUAGCUUGCUACACCAUAGACUGUGAGUUGCGAACGGGUGAGUAACGCGUAGGUAACCUGCCUGGUAGCGGGGGAUAACUAUUGGAAACGAUAGCUAAUACCGCAUAAUAUUAAUUAUUGCAUGAUAAUUAAUUGAAAGGUGCAAUUGCACCACUACCAGAUGGACCUGCGUUGUAUUAGCUAGUAGGUGAGGUAACGGCUCACCUAGGCGACGAUACAUAGCCGACCUGAGAGGGUGAUCGGCCACACUGGGACUGAGACACGGCCCAGACUCCUACGGGAGGCAGCAGUAGGGAAUCUUCGGCAAUGGACGAAAGUCUGACCGAGCAACGCCGCGUGAGUGCAGAAGGUUUUCGGAUCGUAAAGCUCUGUUGUAAGAGAAGAACGGGUGUGAGAGUGGAAAGUUCACACUGUGACGGUAGCUUACCAGAAAGGGACGGCUAACUACGUG